GGGGCACCGUGGCGGCGUGCCUAAUACAUGCAAGUCGAACGAGUUCUCGUUGAUGAUCGGUGCUUGCACCGAGAUUCAACAUGGAACGAGUGGCGGACGGGUGAGUAACACGUGGGUAACCUGCCCUUAAGUGGGGGAUAACAUUUGGAAACAGAUGCUAAUACCGCAUAGAUCCAAGAACCGCAUGGUUCUUGGCUGAAAGAUGGCGUAAGCUAUCGCUUUUGGAUGGACCCGCGGCGUAUUAGCUAGUUGGUGAGGUAAUGGCUCACCAAGGCGAUGAUACGUAGCCGAACUGAGAGGUUGAUCGGCCACAUUGGGACUGAGACACGGCCCAAACUCCUACGGGAGGCAGCAGUAGGGAAUCUUCCACAAUGGACGCAAGUCUGAUGGAGCAACGCCGCGUGAGUGAAGAAGGCUUUCGGGUCGUAAAACUCUGUUGUUGGAGAAGAAUGGUCGGCAGAGUAACUGUUGUCGGCGUGACGGUAUCCAACCAGAAAGCCACGGCUAACUACGUGCCAGCAGCCGCGGUAAUACGUAGGUGGCAAGCGUUAUCCGGAUUUAUUGGGCGUAAAGCGAGCGCAGGCGGUUUUUUAAGUCUGAUGUGAAAGCCCUCGGCUUAACCGAGGAAGCGCAUCGGAAACUGGGAAACUUGAGUGCAGAAGAGGACAGUGGAACUCCAUGUGUAGCGGUGAAAUGCGUAGAUAUAUGGAAGAACACCAGUGGCGAAGGCGGCUGUCUGGUCUGUAACUGACGCUGAGGCUCGAAAGCAUGGGUAGCGAACAGGAUUAGAUACCCUGGUAGUCCAUGCCGUAAACGAUGAAUGCUAGGUGUUGGAGGGUUUCCGCCCUUCAGUGCCGCAGCUAACGCAUUAAGCAUUCCGCCUGGGGAGUACGACCGCAAGGUUGAAACUCAAAGGAAUUGACGGGGGCCCGCACAAGCGGUGGAGCAUGUGGUUUAAUUCGAAGCAACGCGAAGAACCUUACCAGGUCUUGACAUCUUUUGAUCACCUGAGAGAUCAGGUUUCCCCUUCGGGGGCAAAAUGACAGGUGGUGCAUGGUUGUCGUCAGCUCGUGUCGUGAGAUGUUGGGUUAAGUCCCGCAACGAGCGCAACCCUUAUGACUAGUUGCCAGCAUUUAGUUGGGCACUCUAGUAAGACUGCCGGUGACAAACCGGAGGAAGGUGGGGAUGACGUCAAAUCAUCAUGCCCCUUAUGACCUGGGCUACACACGUGCUACAAUGGAUGGUACAACGAGUUGCGAGACCGCGAGGUCAAGCUAAUCUCUUAAAGCCAUUCUCAGUUCGGACUGUAGGCUGCAACUCGCCUACACGAAGUCGGAAUCGCUAGUAAUCGCGGAUCAGCACGCCGCGGUGAAUACGUUCCCGGGCCUUGUACACACCGCCCGUCACACCAUGAGAGUUUGUAACACCCGAAGCCGGUGGCGUAACCCUUUUAGGGAGCGAGCCGUCUUAAGGUGGACAAAUGUUC
This 1486-nucleotide ribosomal RNA is filed under the name Lacticaseibacillus paracasei. RNAcentral's name for it is "bacterial SSU rRNA". It matches the Rfam family "Bacterial small subunit ribosomal RNA". Lineage: Bacteria; Bacillati; Bacillota; Bacilli; Lactobacillales; Lactobacillaceae. The record is from RNAcentral.